UACAGAGGAUGCGAGUGUUAUCCGGAAUUAUUGGGCGUAAAGCGUUUGUAGGUGGAUUCUUAAGUCUUUUGUUAAAUCUCUAAGCUUAACUUAGAACAUGCAAAAGAGACUAUUUAUCUGGAGUAUAGUAGAGGAAAAGGGAAUUUUCAGUGGAGCGGUGAAAUGUGUUGAUAUUGAAAGGAACAUCGAAGGCGAAGGCACUUUUCUGGGCUAUUACUGACACUGAGAAACGAAAGCUAGGGGAGCAAAC
This 250-nucleotide ribosomal RNA is filed under the name uncultured bacterium. RNAcentral's name for it is "partial 16S ribosomal RNA". It matches the Rfam family "Bacterial small subunit ribosomal RNA", at positions 524 to 773 of the family's 1533-position model. The record is from RNAcentral.